RNAcentral lists this ribosomal RNA (313 nucleotides) under uncultured eukaryote. Its description in RNAcentral is "partial large subunit ribosomal RNA". It matches the Rfam family "Eukaryotic large subunit ribosomal RNA", at positions 40 to 350 of the family's 3401-position model. The record is from RNAcentral.
AUAUCAGUAAGCAGAGGAAAAGAAACCAACAGGGAUUUCCCUAGUAACUGCGAGUGAAAAGGGAGCAGCUCAGCGCUAAAGCUCGACUCGUUUCGGGUCGAGCGGUGUGGCGUUUGGAGUGUCCAAUCUGUUACGGAGGCGCGGUCUAAAUUUCGCUGGAACGCGGUUGCAGAGAUGGUUUCACACCAGUCUGGCCGAGCCGAGUAGCGGAGACGACUCUCUGGGAGUCGGGUUGUUUGGAAACGCAGCCCAAAGCGGGUGGUAAACUCCACCUAAGGCUAAAUACAGACACGAGACCGAUAGCGCACAAGUA